CCUACGGGAGGCAGCAGUGGGGAAUAUUGCACAAUGGGCGAAAGCCUGAUGCAGCGACGCCGCGUGAGGGAUGACGGCCUUCGGGUUGUAAACCUCUUUCAGCAGGGAAGAAGCGAAAGUGACGGUACCUGCAGAAGAAGCACCGGCUAACUACGUGCCAGCAGCCGCGGUAAUACGUAGGGUGCGAGCGUUGUCCGGAAUUAUUGGGCGUAAAGAGCUUGUAGGCGGUUUGUCGCGUCUGCCGUGAAAUUUCGAGGCUCAACCUCGAACUUGCGGUGGGUACGGGCAGACUAGAGUGUGGUAGGGGAGACUGGAAUUCCUGGUGUAGCGGUGAAAUGCGCAGAUAUCAGGAGGAACACCGAUGGCGAAGGCAGGUCUCUGGGCCACUACUGACGCUGAGAAGCGAAAGCAUGGGGAGCGAACAGGAUUAGAUACCCUGGUAGUCCAUGCCGUAAACGUUGGGAACUAGGUGUGGGUCUCAUUCCACGAGAUCCGUGCCGCAGCUACGACAUUACGUUACCCGUCCGUCGGGAGGUACGGCCGGCCGAACGGACGUAAAACCGUUAACGAAAGUAAAGUUAGUUACGGCGUUGAGACGNGCGACGGACGACGACGAGGGAGGAGG
This 625-nucleotide ribosomal RNA is filed under the name uncultured bacterium. RNAcentral describes it as "bacterial SSU rRNA". The stretch from base 1 to 525 matches the Rfam family "Bacterial small subunit ribosomal RNA", at positions 338 to 873 of the family's 1533-position model. The record is from RNAcentral.